UACGGAGGGUGCAAGCGUUAUCCGGAUUCACUGGGUUUAAAGGGUGUGUAGGUGGCGCGCUAAGUCGGGUGUGAAAUUUCGGAGCUUAACUCCGAAACUGCAUUCGAUACUGGCGUGCUUGAGGACUGGAGAGGAGACUGGAAUUCAUGGUGUAGCAGUGAAAUGCGUAGAGAUCAUGAGGAAGACCAGUGGCGAAGGCGGGUCUCUGGACAGUUCCUGACACUGAGACACGAAGGCCAGGGGAGCAAACGGG
This 253-nucleotide ribosomal RNA is filed under the name uncultured bacterium. RNAcentral's name for it is "partial 16S ribosomal RNA". It matches the Rfam family "Bacterial small subunit ribosomal RNA", at positions 524 to 776 of the family's 1533-position model. The record is from RNAcentral.